UAUGGCCACAUCACAUUGAAACAACAGUUCUUGUAUGAUCACUGAAGUUAAGCAACAUUGAGCCUGGUCAAUACUUAGAUGGGUAACUGCUUGGGAAUAACAGGUUCUGUAAG
Non-coding RNA from Acanthosepion pharaonis, 113 nucleotides. The record is from the annotation of a GenBank genome assembly. Lineage: Eukaryota; Metazoa; Mollusca; Cephalopoda; Sepiida; Sepiidae.